Molecule: RNA transcript, 5910 nt
Organism: Brassica rapa (field mustard)
Lineage: Eukaryota; Viridiplantae; Streptophyta; Magnoliopsida; Brassicales; Brassicaceae
Gene name: transmembrane protein DDB_G0273707/DDB_G0273361
Source: RefSeq, a predicted model, not a curated record
AUGGCUUUGCUUCCGGUGAAGCCUCUAUCUUUCCACCGCUUUCAGGUUUUCCCCCGGCAUCUUAUUACUCCGGCUGUUUCAACUGUUCCGGGAAUGGUUUCUGCCGGUUUCAAAAGCCAUCAUUUCGUAGGGCUCCCUUCUUAUGAUCUAUGUAUCCAUGAAUCUGUAAGGCAUAUGAGAAGCCUAAGGUCGUGGAGUAAUCGUCGCCGAGUAAGCAGAACCGUCGGCGUGUCUAUGCCGGUGGCUUCGGCUGAGGAUUUACCGGCGGCUUCUUGGGAUUCUUGGAAGCCCGAUAAGACCACGGUGGCUCCGUCACUUAGUGACGUCAUUUGGCCUGCAGCAGGAGCGUUUGCGGCUAUGGCAAUAAUGGGAAGUAUAGAUCAAAUGUUAAACCCUAAAGGGAUCUCAAUGUCGGUUGCACCACUUGGUGCCGUCUCUGCCAUUCUCUUCACCACUCCUUCUGUACCUGCUGCUAGGAAAUACAAUAUAUUCGUGGCUCAAAUAGGUUGUGCAGCCAUUGGAGUAUUGACUUUCUCCAUCUUUGGGCCGGGUUGGCUCUCCCGCAGCAUCGCACUAGCUGCUUCCAUUGCAUUUAUGGUCAUUGCUCGUGCUAGUCAUCCUCCUGCGGCAAGUUUACCACUACUGUUCAUAGACGGGGCAAAGUUACAAAAGUUAAACUUUUGGUACGUAUUAUUCCCCAGUGCAGCGGCUUGCAUCCUCCUCUGCUUCCUCCAAGAGAUCGUGUGCUACUUGAAGAAAAACUUGAAAUUUUGAUGAAUGGAAAAGGACGAAGUCAAGAGUGUUAUAUGCAUGUAUAGACACAUUGGUGGAGGAGUUCAUGUGCAGAUUUUUUUAUAUAUAUUAGACGUUUAUCGAAGAUGGUCGACGUACACAUACAUUAAAAAAAAAUAUACGUACAAAUUAUACAUACUUUCACAAAACUUGUUUUUUCUGGGGGUUUUUACGUUGAGCUCAGAUAUUUUAGUGAAACAAUAUUGCAUAUCAGUACUAUAUAUCAUCAUACAUCUUAGACACAUGGCACGGUAUAAUUAAGAUUGUUUUCUCGAUCUUUACAAAGGUGUUUUAUGGUUCGAUGGAAAAUAUUGUUCUUAUGACGGUGAGUACACACUCCAGAUGUUCAAAGUAGAAAUUCACAGUGGGGUGAUUAUUAGGUUUUUGUGUUUCUUUCAAUACCUAGUCCACUAGUUAGUUAUACAACUAUAUAUUCGCAAAACUUUUGACGAUUAUAUAUCAUUUCACUAUUGGUUACAAUCAUAAGAAUUUUUUACACUUAGAGACACUUUUCCUCAUUCUAAUUACACAUUGUUGACAUGGAUGUUUUUAAUUGAUUAGUUCACAUGUUUGGAAAUUUUGAGGUAUUACAGGAAAAUUCCCGGUUAUCAUAAGAAUAUGAGGAGGUAUUAUUAUAUCUUCCACAUUGCAUUAUUUUAUGUGGUUACAGGGGAAUAUUUAUAUACAUGGUGUUUUGAUUGGUACUAUCAACAUUUCUUAUAUUUUCUACAAAGAAUAUACCUGAACAAGAAAGUUUUGUUUGUUGGUCGUCUUCAGUCAAUAACAAUUUCAUAUCAAUCAAAUAAUCUUUCUCAUUCGAAACUAGCCAUUACCCAAUCUCACCUUACAAGAAUGUAAAUCAUUUAGUCCUAAAUUAGCUUUUUGUAUGACUACUGGAAGCUAUUUAUUUAUGCAUUACAUGUGCCUGAUUUCAUAUAUUUGUAGCUUAUUCCUCUUUUUCCGAACAAGUAGAAGAAGCAAUCGAAAAUAUAUAGUAUUUAGGAUUAAGUGCAAAAUGAUCAUGAUGAUAAGAUAGGAGUUAAUACGUAAAAUGACAUUAGUUUUAGUAAACAAUCAGAUCGUCGUAAAAAAAAACCCCCAUUCAGAUGGAUUAGGUGAGUACACAAAAUACUUGAGAUUGUAAUAAAAGGACGGACUUUAUUCUUAAUUAUUUGCCCUACUACCUCUAUAGUUUAUUCUUAUUUGUCCCACCUAAUAAAUUAUUUAAUUUUCUUUUUCUUUUAAUUACAGAAAUAUCAGUAAAUACUAAACUACCCUUAAUAAAUUUAUAAAACUACAACUAAACCUAAGCUAACCCUCUAACCUAACCAGAGUCUUUUCUUCUCUCCUCUUCCCCUUAGAACACGCGUCCCGACCACCCCGACUGCACUCAUUUUCCUCUUUUCUUUUUGGCGGAAACUCUAAUCGACGAAAUCAUCUUUUCUUCUUGUUCGAAAUCAAUCCGAAAUCAAGUGCGACGAAUCACCUCUCUCUUACAGAAAGCCUUCGAUUUUGUGUGUCUCCUUCAACAGAAGCCUUCGGUUCCAUCUUCCUCAUUCUCGAAAAUCCGGGUAAGUUUUUUCUUUCAUCCUCUUUCUUUUGAGUUCUAUGUUCAUUUGUAAUGUGGGUUCAAAAAUAAUUGGUAAAAAUUUGUGUGUGAAUGGUUAAAUGAUUAUUGGAAUGGGAAAAUAGAAGCGAUUUGAAAGGGAAGCAAUGUGGAUAUUUCUAGAAAUAGGGUUUGAAAGGAAAAAGAUUUAUAUAUGUUGAUUGAAAGUGAUUUGGUCAUAGUUCUUAUUAUUACUAGUGUUUAUGUAAUUGUUUGAGUGAAACUUUGGAAUGUAAGAUAUGAAAUUGAAUGUUGGAUAAGUGAAACAGAAAUAUCCAAAUUGCUUGUCUAUGGUGAUUGAGUGGUUGAGGGUUAAUGAGAUUGAAUGAGUGAGUGUUUGAAUUUGAACAUAUAGAAAUGUGAAAGUGAGUUAGAGAUUAUAUUGAGCUAGUGCUGAAUGUUUGAGCAUAUCUACAAUGAAAAAGUGAUGUUUGCAUUUCAACAUAUGCAGAUUGAAAGCCGGUUUCAAUUAUGAUUGAAUGUUUUUUGUUACAGGAUAUCCAGAAGAUCGAGAUAAUGACAUGAUGAAAGCGUGGAGGAAAGAAAAAUACUAAGCAGAAGAAAGGAAAGUCUACAAAAAGAAACAUUGCUCAUGUAGAAGAAUAACAUGUAGAAGAGCUUUCAACUGGAAAUGAUAGUGAUGAUCUGUCAGCACAUGGAAACGAGACUGAUCAUCCUGCACAGGAGAAUGAGACUGAUCAUCUGUCAGCGACAUCUCAGGUAUUCAUUCCCAAAAUUAUUUCUCUCGUUUUAGUUUUAAAAAAAAGUUAUUGUUGGUGUAUUACUGGUGCGACUAGUAUUACUAGGAAAAAAAAUUAUAUGACCCUUAUUCCUACUGGAAAGAUUAAUAAUUCAUGCUAAUAUAAUUUUAUAUGGUUUUCAGGAAUGCCAACCAUUACCACCUGAUGUGCUAUACUUCAAGAAUACCGAGUUCACCAAGACAUGCAAGAUACAAAGCAAGUGCUAUGGAAGUAACACGGUGGCUAUCAUCAAGAAGCUUCAGCCUGAGUUGGAGUGGUUCGAGAACCACCCUCAAUUUUGUCAUAUUUUUCACAUGCCCGAUGAACCAUACUUGAAGUUGCUGGUUGUGUGGAUGCUUCUAUUGCGAACCAUUCCCUUAAAAGAGGGAGAUGGCACAGCUUGGUUUGCGGUUAAUGGCGUGUCCAUCCGGUAUUCCACCAGAGAGCAUGCACUCAUCAGCUUUGGACUGCGAUGGAUACCCGGAUAAGUAUGAGAAUUUGGGGAGCUAUGAGUCUUUAGAUAGGCAUUUUAUGUCACACAAAGUGAUAACCAUGAAAUCUGUCGAAGAGAAGUUGUUGAGAAUGAGCGCUUGUGGGGAUCGACUUAAGAUGGCGGUGCUUUACUUCUUGGGCACUGCUAUUAGAGGGAGGGGAAGGUAUAAUGCCCCCUUUGCCUCUUUCAUUCUAAGAGUUGUCAACAAUGUGGAGGAUUGUAAAACCAUUCCUUGGGGUUGCUUGACGUUUGAUGAUAAUAUCUAGUCCAUUAAUCACUUGAUGAAGCGUCUCAGGGGGAAAGCUAAGAAGAAUAUCAACUUUAUCUGGUUCAUACUUCUUUAUAUGAGUUUUGUUUUGGCAAAUUUAUGUUUGUAUGGUUGUUUUUUUAUAUAAAAAAAAUUAUAUUUGUAGAUGCUGGCAUUUGAGUGUAUUCUAGCUCUGAAUGCUCAAUUCAGAGAACAUGUAGACGGUUGUAUGAGUAACUGUCCUAGGAUGUGCAAGUGACGGUUCCAAAGUAACAACAUGAAGGGUUAUCCACUUGAGGAUUUGUACAAUGCAUUUGGAGAAACGAAGGUAAUUAAAAGUGUUAUAGCUUCUACUAUUGAUGAAGAAACUCCCAUGGCGCGCAUAAUGGAGGACGAAGCAGACUAUGAAAAUGAAGAAGGACCAAGUAAUUUGUGGAGCUUAUGGCUUACUGUUAAGGAGAAGUCUAUCUGGUGGAAAGAUCUCUAUGAGUUAAAUGUGGCUGCAAGGGAUUUUUCUACGAAGAAAGACAAAAGGAAAGUGAAUGAAAAAGCAUCCUCCUCUAAUGCAAGUUUGGAGGACGUUUUGAAAGGGAUUGAAAAGAGGUUGAUGACAUGUUUGAGCGAAGUGAAUGUGAAGGUGGAGACAAUGAACAAGAGGCUUUGUGUCAUGGAAAAGAGCCAAGUCGUUUAAAAAAGGAGGAGUAAGAGGAUGAAGGCGAUGGAGAAGAGGCUUGAGGACAUUGAUAAUUGCCAAUAUUAUUUAAAAAAUAAUGGCAGGAAGUAGAAGGUGAUGGAAGAGAGGAUUGAUGCCAUUGAGAAAGAGAUGAAGAGGAAGGAGACCGAGAACACUGAGGGUUUUGACUUCCAAAACAUGGAUUUUGACUGGGAUAGAUGACGUUCUGUAGAUGCAGAAAUUGUUGAAAAUAUUGAAGUGGUAGAAGAACCACCAGGUCAGAAAACUGAAGAGACUGAUAAAGAGGAGGAAAACGAGUAGGCUGAGAUCGAGAAAAAUGAGAAAGAUAAUGCAGAAGAGACUCUGAAAGAAAAUACAAGUUCUGAGGAAGAGAAAGAACCUGAAGCUUAAGUUGAAGAAGAUAAAGAAGAUGUGGAAAAAAAAUAACAAGAAGUUAAGGCUGAAACAAAGAAAGUGAAGCUGCUCAGACUUAAGCUGAUGAUGAUGAAGAAGAGGUUGAAAAAGAGGGUAAAAACAAUGCUAAAACUGAACCUCGAGCUGAAAUUGAAGAAGAGGUUCAAAAAGCGAGUGAAGAAGAGGUUCAAAAAGAGGAAGAGCUUAAUGAAGGGAAAGAGAUUGAAGAAGAACCUGAGCAUGCUGACAAAGUUGAGAAAGAAGCUAGGAUAUACAUGGAGGAAGAGAAAAAAAGGUAGAUUCUUACCGUGUGCAAGACUGAUGAUGUUACUGCCGUGGAGAAGACUGAUGGAACCAAGGAAACAUCUAGGACUCCUGCUCAUGGGGUGGUGAAGCAUAGACCUAAGGUAAUGGCGGUGAGAAAACAUGCUCCUAAGAAGAGGGGUAGACCGAGAAAAGCUGAUAAACCACAUAAAUUCACAACGCCACCACCGAUAAAAAGGACUCGUACACCAUCACAGUACGUAACCAGUCCUUUCAUUGAAGCUAAUACCGACGAGGUUGAAGGGCGCAAGAAGAAGCCUAGAACAAAGGCUUAAAAGACUACCAUCAUAAAAUAUUUUGGGUGUUUAAUAUUUAUGUCGGCUUUGUUGUGAACUUACGUAGGAUGCUAUGUUUGUUGGUUGUUAGUCUGUAAAAUUAGAGUGCUAUUUGUUAUGUAAGAUGAUUUGUGUUGUAUGAUUGUCUUGCAGCAGGUUUGGCCAAUAGAGUACAAGGCAGGCUAAGUCCUAAGAAAACAUAUUUGUAAUCCUAGGUGUAUUAAGUAUUACUAAGCCAAAAAUAUUGUUGACACUUUGUAAAAAAAAAAAAACUAUGGCACAUGUCUAGAACGUGUUAUUAAACAAACAUGUUUGAAUAUUAAAAUAAUAUUAAUUUUACACUUAA